GACAGAGGAAGCGAGCGUUAUCCGGAGUUGUUGGGCGUAAAGGGCACGUAGGCGGCUGGUCAAGUCUGGGGUUAAAGACCACAGCUUAACUGUGGGGGGGCCUUGGAAACUGACCGGCUGGAGUGGGGCAGGGGUUGCGGGAAUUCCCGGUGUAGCGGUGAAAUGCGUAGAUAUCGGGAAGAACACCUGAGGCGAAAGCGCGCAACUGGGCCCUAACUGACGCUGAGGUACGAAAGCUAGGGGAGCGAAUGGG
Molecule: ribosomal RNA, 253 nt
Filed under: uncultured bacterium
Lineage: Bacteria
Description: partial 16S ribosomal RNA
Rfam family: Bacterial small subunit ribosomal RNA
Source: RNAcentral